UACAGAGGGUGCAAGCGUUGCUCGGAAUUAUUGGGCGUAAAGGGUAGGUAGGUGGUCUCAUUUGUCGGGGGUGAAAGCCUUGGGCUUAACCCAAGAAGUGCCUUCGAAACGGUGAGACUGGAGUCCUGGAGAGGGUCGUGGAAUUCCUGGUGUAGCGGUGAAAUGCGCAGAUAUCAGGAGGAACACCGGUGGCGAAGGCGGGUCUCUGGGCCGAUACUGACGCUGAGGAGCGAAAGCCAGGGGAGCGAACGGG
RNAcentral lists this ribosomal RNA (253 nucleotides) under uncultured bacterium. RNAcentral's name for it is "partial 16S ribosomal RNA". It matches the Rfam family "Bacterial small subunit ribosomal RNA", at positions 524 to 776 of the family's 1533-position model. The record is from RNAcentral.